Molecule: long non-coding RNA, 288 nt
Filed under: Daucus carota (carrot)
Lineage: Eukaryota; Viridiplantae; Streptophyta; Magnoliopsida; Apiales; Apiaceae
Description: long non-coding RNA (DCAR_LNC001840)
Source: RNAcentral
CUCCAGUCCGUCAUGAAGUUGAGGAAGGUGAUAGCAGUGAUGAAGAGGAGGGAAGAAAGUUUGGUGCAGCUGAUACUUUCAGAAUGCCAGAUGAGGUUGAUAUUUCACAUCUUAGUUGAACCUAUGGUUAGAUCGAGUUUAUGUUUGAUUGAUGAACUAUGAACCUAUGUUUAGAUUGAGAUUAUGUUUGAUUGAUGUUACGACUUACAGCUAGUGAACAAUCAUUGACUAGAUCUUGGUUAGACGCAGUCGUUAACUCAUACAGCACAUGUAGAUUUGAUUCAUGCU